AGUUUGAUCCUGGCUCAGGAUGAACGCUAGCUACAGGCUUAACACAUGCAAGUCGAGGGGCAGCAUGGUCUUAGCUUGCUAAGGCCGAUGGCGACCGGCGCACGGGUGAGUAACACGUAUCCAACCUGCCGUCUACUCUUGGACAGCCUUCUGAAAGGAAGAUUAAUACAAGAUGGCAUCAUGAGUCCGCAUGUUCACAUGAUUAAAGGUAUUCCGGUAGACGAUGGGGAUGCGUUCCAUUAGAUAGUAGGCGGGGUAACGGCCCACCUAGUCUUCGAUGGAUAGGGGUUCUGAGAGGAAGGUCCCCCACAUUGGAACUGAGACACGGUCCAAACUCCUACGGGAGGCAGCAGUGAGGAAUAUUGGUCAAUGGGCGAGAGNCUGAACCAGCCAAGUAGCGUGAAGGAUGACUGCCCUAUGGGUUGUAAACUUCUUUUAUAAAGGAAUAAAGUCGGGUAUGGAUACCCGUUUGCAUGUACUUUAUGAAUAAGGAUCGGCUAACUCCGUGCCAGCAGCCGCGGUAAUACGGAGGAUCCGAGCGUUAUCCGGAUUUAUUGGGUUUAAAGGGAGCGUAGAUGGAUGUUUAAGUCAGUUGUGAAAGUUUGCGGCUCAACCGUAAAAUUGCAGUUGAUACUGAAUAUCUUGAGUGCAGUUGAGGCAGGCGGAAUUCGUGGUGUAGCGGUGAAAUGCUUAGAUAUCACGAAGAACUCCGAUUGCGAAGGCAGCCUGCUAAGCUGCAACUGACAUUGAGGCUCGAAAGUGUGGGUAUCAAACAGGAUUAGAUACCCUGGUAGUCCACACGGUAAACGAUGAAUACUCGCUGUUUGCGAUAUGCUGCAAGCGGCCAAGCGAAAGCGUUAAGUAUUCCACCUGGGGAGUACGCCGGCAACGGUGAAACUCAAAGGAAUUGACGGGGGCCCGCACAAGCGGAGGAACAUGUGGUUUAAUUCGAUGAUACGCGAGGAACCUUACCCGGGCUUAAAUUGCAGAUGAAUUACGGUGAAAGCCGUAAGCCGCAAGGCAUCUGUGAAGGUGCUGCAUGGUUGUCGUCAGCUCGUGCCGUGAGGUGUCGGCUUAAGUGCCAUAACGAGCGCAACCCUUGUUGUCAGUUACUAACAGGUUCCGCUGAGGACUCUGACAAGACUGCCAUCGUAAGAUGUGAGGAAGGUGGA
RNAcentral lists this ribosomal RNA (1172 nucleotides) under uncultured Bacteroides sp. RNAcentral's name for it is "bacterial SSU rRNA". It matches the Rfam family "Bacterial small subunit ribosomal RNA", at positions 10 to 1177 of the family's 1533-position model. Lineage: Bacteria; Pseudomonadati; Bacteroidota; Bacteroidia; Bacteroidales; Bacteroidaceae. The record is from RNAcentral.